AAGUGAGAACAAGCAUUGAAAUGGCACUGUUGUAGCUGACAUUGCAAGAUAUUAUGUGUCAGAUAUGCUAAACGUAUCUAAACAUACUGAGAAGACAGUCCUGGCUUCAAAGAGCUUACAGUCUAAGUUUUCACUAACUAAGAGGGGAAUGGAUCCAGUUCUCAUGUUUUGACAGAUUUUUCCUAGUUGUUUUAGACUCUCUUCUGGAGAGACCUGUCCAAAUUCUGAGGCUAUGGCAGAAUAGAAGCCUGGCUUAUUGGCAUUAACACUUUGAUCUUCUCAUCUCCUUUUUCAUUUGUUUCAGGUCAUUGGUAAACCAUGGUGAUCUGUAAGAGAUGGUGUAUGUGUAAGGGGGCAACUAGGGACCAAUGCGUUCUUAGCUGUGGACAGCAGAUGUCUUAAUAGCCUACCAGUACAUCAAUAUCAUGGUCCACUGGUUAGCCGUUUGUCUCAGAGCAUUCCAGAAUGCCCCAUUUGUCUCCAAAGAUGGACCACUGCAGUUUGCCCAUCUCCAAGACUAGGUAGAACAGGACUGGGAUAUAGGCAUAUUGCUACUUACCUGCAUAAUAAGGAUGUUAUAAAUCUUAAUUCAUUAAAGUUUGUAGAACAUUUUGAGGUCCAUGGAUGGAAGGUGCUGUCCUAGUGCAAAGUACUUUAUUUACCAUGAUGAUUGAUUGGUUUAUUAAACUGACAAAAGCUAGAACAAAGAACAUUAUGUUUGUCGUACUAUCUUUAGUGUACAUUGUGCCAUUUUCUCUUUUCUUCUUUGAAGCAGCAUUAGUUAAGAAUAGUGUCAGUGCUAAAAUGAAAAAAAAAAUUAAUUUAAUAUUAAGGGUCUCACUUAAUUUUCAACAGGUUUUAAUUGAAUUCAAGCACCCUGGUUAUGAUUUUUUUUCAAAUAUUGCAUAAAUUACUUUAUUAAUAUAUAAUUUCUAUUGACUAAUUUUUGAAUCAUAUGUUGAUGAAAUCAUCUGCUCUGAUCUUGGCUAAUGCUUCAGAGCUUCUCGACCUUUAAACAAUGAACGAAAUGCGUCUCAAUUAUGAUCAGUUUGGGGUUGACUUAACCCUUUGAAUACCACGUACUUCAGAAUAUGAGUGACAAAUUAUUAUGAAUAAAUCAUAAUGAAGUGUUUGAUCUUUUGAGCCA
RNAcentral lists this long non-coding RNA (1147 nucleotides) under Chrysemys picta bellii (western painted turtle). Its description in RNAcentral is "lncRNA (ENSCPBG00000009522.1)". Lineage: Eukaryota; Metazoa; Chordata; Testudines; Emydidae. The record is from RNAcentral.